This 352-nucleotide unclassified non-coding RNA is filed under the name soil metagenome. RNAcentral describes it as "partial contains 5.8S ribosomal RNA, internal transcribed spacer 2, and large subunit ribosomal RNA". The stretch from base 1 to 120 matches the Rfam family "5.8S ribosomal RNA", at positions 35 to 154 of the family's 154-position model. The record is from RNAcentral.
GAUGAAGAACGUAGCGAAAUGCGAUAAGUAAUGUGAAUUGCAGAAUUCAGUGAAUCAUCGAAUCUUUGAACGCACAUUGCGCCAGCCAGUACUCUGGCGGGCAUGCCUGUUCGAGCGUCAUUACAACCCUCAGGCCCCCGGGCCUGGCGUUGGGGAUCGGCGGAGCCCCCCGUGGGCACACGCCGUCCCCCAAAUACAGUGGCGGUCCCGCCGCAGCUUCCAUCGCGUAGUAGCUAACACCUCGCGACUGGAGAGCGGCGCGGCCACGCCGUAAAACACCCAACUCUUCUGAAGUUGACCUCGAAUCAGGUAGGAAUACCCGCUGAACUUAAGCAUAUCAAUAAGCGGAGGA